UUGCGCCUGUUUAACAAAAACAUUGCCGCUUGAGUAAACAAAAUAAGCGGUACAUCCUGCCCGGUGAGAUACGUCUUAAACGGCCGCGUUAGCGUGAGCGUGCUAAGGUAGCAUAAUAAUUUGCCUUUUAAAUGAAGGCUGGAAUGAAUGGACACACGAGACCACUACUGUCUCCUAAGUACCCCUAAAAAUUAGGAAUCAAGUGCAGACACUUGAAUUGCCUUAAAGGACAAGAAGACCCCGUUGAGCUUUAGUUCAAAGUUAUUUCGUCCGCAAGUAGCUGAGUGAGCUUUGGUUGGGGCGACAAAGGUUUAUCCACAGCAACCUCUAAUAACAAGACAUAUAAGUCCCUAAAAGACUCGCUAUUAGCAAAAAGAAGAAAAGCUACCACGGGGAUAACAGGCUAAUCCAUUCGAAGAGUUCACAUUGAUGAAUGGGUUUGGCACCUCGAUGUUGGCUCAGGAUUCCCCGCAGGUGCAGGCGCCUGCAAAGGUAGGUUUGUUCACCCUUUAAAAUCCUACGUGAUCUGAGUUCAAGACCGGCA
RNAcentral lists this ribosomal RNA (544 nucleotides) under Ophelia neglecta. RNAcentral describes it as "partial 16S ribosomal RNA". It matches the Rfam family "Bacterial large subunit ribosomal RNA", at positions 1794 to 2621 of the family's 2925-position model. Lineage: Eukaryota; Metazoa; Annelida; Polychaeta; Opheliidae. The record is from RNAcentral.